GCCAAAAUGCCGACUCGUUGAAUUGUCGGAUAUUGGAUGGAUUUACCCUUCAUAAGUUUGCAAGAGACCCGCUUCGUCGUGAAAAAUGGAACGACAGCUUUGUGGGUUCCAAAUGACAGAUGGCGAUCGCCUAAUCCAACCUCGUCGCCGUACAGGAUAUUGGACUUCAUCUGGGGGUUAAUAAUCAAAAGGCGUGAAAGGAACCCGCAGAGAAAUCCCGCGAGGGUCGACUGAACUUCUGCGGUGCUCACGACGAUCGGCGGAUUCCCGACCGUGACGUCGCCGGAAGACCGGCCCCAAAAUGAUGAUUUAUUAACUACAAUUAACGUAUUUUGUUCAUCUAUCUUCGCCGGUGUCAGGCGGAACAAUUCGAGUGGCUAUAAAAGCGCUACACACCCUUGUUUCAAUUGCACGUUUUGGUGAGAUGAAUAAAAUGAGACCAAGAUUGAUUUUUUUUUUUUUUCCAACCAUAAAAAAGAAGAAUUCCACAACCGAGAAGUCCACAUCGCUCCAAAAUUGAAGAAAAAUUAAGAAGGAGGCGAGUGAAGCUGCAGGAAUGACGCCAGUCUUCCGGCUAUUUCAUAUUAUUAUUGGGUGGCGGGGCAAGAUGGAGGCCGGAUUGUACCAAGAAAUUU
Molecule: long non-coding RNA, 635 nt
Organism: Syngnathoides biaculeatus (alligator pipefish)
Lineage: Eukaryota; Metazoa; Chordata; Actinopteri; Syngnathiformes; Syngnathidae
Exons: 2
Source: RefSeq, a predicted model, not a curated record